This 1063-nucleotide long non-coding RNA is filed under the name Sus scrofa (pig). RNAcentral describes it as "lncRNA (ENSSSCG00015054022.1)". Lineage: Eukaryota; Metazoa; Chordata; Mammalia; Artiodactyla; Suidae. The record is from RNAcentral.
UCAUCUUUUACAAUGACACCAGUCACAUUGGAUUGGAGUUCACCCUAAUAAUUUCAUUUUAACUUGAUCUUCUACAAAGAAGCUGUUUCCAAAUAAUAACUUAUUUCCACAGGUACUGGGAAUAGGGACAUCAGAAUCUAUGGGGGGGGGACAUAAUUCAUAACAGAAAGAAAAUGUUUCUUUUCAGAAAGUAUCUCCGAACCUAAAAUGUUAUCCUUAAAUUUGCUUUCACCUGCCUCAAACAUAAGCAUUAACCAGCUUUUCUAUAAAGAGAAAUUUUUCCCUGUUCAAUUUUUUUUUACUUUGUAUUAUUAACAAAUGACCCUUUGAAUUUGGUAUUGACUACCUCCAACCCCCCCCCCCAGAAUAAAUGCUAAAAUAGAAGGCUUCCAUCAUUAUGAGAAUUUAUUGCUUCUCUCUUACUCGAACCAUGAACUUCUGUCUAUUUGCAUUACCAGGAAGAAAUACAUUUAAACGGUCUCAAAAUCUAUGAUAUUAUCAUUGUUAUUAUUAUUAUUCAAAAUGAGACCCUGGUCAGAAGAAAAUCUUUUCCAAUGCAAUACUGGAAAGUUCUACAAGUUGUAUUUUCAAAAGCACUUAAUUUUAUAUUUCCGAUCUAUUUUUUUUAAUAAAUUGUUUUUUACCGUAAAGAGAAGAGGAAGAAAAGUAAACUCAUGCAAGUGAGUGGCUUCUAGAUGACAAAGUUUAUAGGUUUCUGUGCCUAUGUAUUCAUGACAAAGCUGAACAGCUUUUGAAAGCUGUCAGCUGUCUGUUCUCUGGGCUGACAAGCGACUAGGUCAACCCAGUUCUAACUGAACACUGAGAAUGACAUAUUUCUUAUAAAGUUUAUGUUAGGGAUCCAGCCAAGUCUAAACUCUCUUUUGACUGUGUUUGUUUUUGUGUUAGCAUUUUUCUUGGUUCAAGUUCAACAGGUAAAAUUUCCCUCGAGAAAACAUACAAGGUGGUUUUCUUCCUCUGAGGGCUUACCUCCACCCUGAGAACUUAUCUGUUCUCCCUGUAUGUCCACACACUUCAGGGAAAGACAGGAUUUCAUAAAUGAAAC